RNAcentral lists this small RNA (17 nucleotides) under Arabidopsis thaliana (thale cress). RNAcentral describes it as "ATSL124230". The record is from RNAcentral. Lineage: Eukaryota; Viridiplantae; Streptophyta; Magnoliopsida; Brassicales; Brassicaceae.
AAAAAAAACAGAAAAAA